This 40-nucleotide ribosomal RNA is filed under the name Begonia formosana. RNAcentral describes it as "partial 18S ribosomal RNA". Lineage: Eukaryota; Viridiplantae; Streptophyta; Magnoliopsida; Cucurbitales; Begoniaceae. The record is from RNAcentral.
AACAAGGUUUCCGUAGGUGAACCUGCUCAAGGGAGAGUGU